GAAAGAUGGCUUUGGCUAUCACUCUGGGAUGGACCUGCGGUGCAUUAGCUAGUUGGUAAGGUAACGGCUUACCAAGGCGAUGAUGCAUAGCCGAGUUGAGAGACUGAUCGGCCACAAUGGAACUGAGACACGGUCCAUACUCCUACGGGAGGCAGCAGUAGGGAAUCUUCCACAAUGGGCGCAAGCCUGAUGGAGCAACACCGCGUGAGUGAAGAAGGGUUUCGGCUCGUAAAGCUCUGUUGUUGGAGAAGAACGUGCGUGAGAGUAACUGUUCACGCAGUGACGGUAUCCAACCAGAAAGUCACGGCUAACUACGUGCCAGCAGCCGCGGUAAUACGUAGGUGGCAAGCGUUAUCCGGAUUUAUUGGGCGUAAAGCGAGCGCAGGCGGUUGCUUAGGUCUGAUGUGAAAGCCUUCGGCUUAACCGAAGAAGUGCAUCGGAAACCGGGCGACUUGAGUGCAGAAGAGGACAGUGGAACUCCAUGUGUAGCGGUGGAAUGCGUAGAUAUAUGGAAGAACACCAGUGGCGAAGGCGGCUGUCUGGUCUGCAACUGACGCUGAGGCUCGAAAGCAUGGGUAGCGAACAGGAUUAGAUACCCUGGUAGUCCAUGCCGUAAACGAUGAGUGCUAGGUGUUGGAGGGUUUCCGCCCUU
This 652-nucleotide ribosomal RNA is filed under the name uncultured bacterium. RNAcentral describes it as "bacterial SSU rRNA". It matches the Rfam family "Bacterial small subunit ribosomal RNA", at positions 202 to 840 of the family's 1533-position model. The record is from RNAcentral.